CCCUGUAUCGAAAGUGAUCAUGGCGUCUCUGUUGCCAGGUCAUUGAUAGUACAGGAAGAUAAAGCUGCGAGCCUUUCCCUGUGUUUGCUGGAAUAUCAGUUCCUGUUGAACCCUGGCGCUCUCAAACA
Thunnus maccoyii (southern bluefin tuna) is the source of this 128-nucleotide small nucleolar RNA. RefSeq annotates it as small nucleolar RNA SNORA71. NCBI's taxonomy places the organism in Eukaryota, Metazoa, Chordata, Actinopteri, Scombriformes, Scombridae. The transcript has a single exon. The record is from RefSeq and is a predicted model, not a curated record.